Molecule: non-coding RNA, 194 nt
Organism: Podarcis lilfordi (Lilford's wall lizard)
Lineage: Eukaryota; Metazoa; Chordata; Lepidosauria; Squamata; Lacertidae
Source: the annotation of a GenBank genome assembly
AUCGCUUCUCGGCCUUUUGGCUAAGAUCAAGUGUAGUGUAGUAUCAGUUUUUGGCAACACAGGUUUCUGCGGCUUAAAAUAACAAUUAUUUCACCUCCUCUUUUAUAUAUUCCAGUAAUAUCACUUGUGGAUUUGCAGUUGCUACGUAUAAGGGGCCCAGAAAUUCAGAACUUUGGGGCAGCUCAAGAAUAUAU